This 372-nucleotide ribosomal RNA is filed under the name uncultured organism. RNAcentral describes it as "partial 16S ribosomal RNA". It matches the Rfam family "Bacterial small subunit ribosomal RNA", at positions 527 to 896 of the family's 1533-position model. The record is from RNAcentral.
GUAGGGGGCGAGCGUUAUCCGGAAUUACUGGGCGUAAAGGGCGUCUAGGCGGCAGCCUAAGUCUCGCGUGAAAGCUCCCGGCUCAACUGGGAGAGGGCGCGGGAAACUGGGUGGCUAGAGACUCGGAGAGGGGUGUGGAAUUCCCGGUGGAGUGGUGAUAUGCGUUGAGAUCGGGAGGAACACCAGUGGCGAAGGCGGCACCCUGGCCGAGGUCUGACGCUGAAGCGCGACAGCGUGGGGAGCAAACGGGGAUUAGAUACCCCGGUAGUCCACGCCGUAAACGAUGACCACUAGGUGUCGGGUGUUUAAGGAUGCUUGGUACCGCAGCUAACGCGAUAAGUGGUCCGCCUGGGGAGUACGGCCGCAAGGCUA